RNAcentral lists this ribosomal RNA (542 nucleotides) under Aspergillus fumigatus. RNAcentral describes it as "eukaryotic LSU rRNA". The stretch from base 173 to 326 matches the Rfam family "5.8S ribosomal RNA". Lineage: Eukaryota; Fungi; Ascomycota; Eurotiomycetes; Eurotiales; Aspergillaceae. The record is from RNAcentral.
CUCUGGGUCCAACCUCCCACCCGUGUCUAUCGUACCUUGUUGCUUCGGCGGGCCCGCCGUUUCGACGGCCGCCGGGGAGGCCUUGCGCCCCCGGGCCCGCGCCCGCCGAAGACCCCAACAUGAACGCUGUUCUGAAAGUAUGCAGUCUGAGUUGAUUAUCGUAAUCAGUUAAAACUUUCAACAACGGAUCUCUUGGUUCCGGCAUCGAUGAAGAACGCAGCGAAAUGCGAUAAGUAAUGUGAAUUGCAGAAUUCAGUGAAUCAUCGAGUCUUUGAACGCACAUUGCGCCCCCUGGUAUUCCGGGGGGCAUGCCUGUCCGAGCGUCAUUGCUGCCCUCAAGCACGGCUUGUGUGUUGGGCCCCCGUCCCCCUCUCCCGGGGGACGGGCCCGAAAGGCAGCGGCGGCACCGCGUCCGGUCCUCGAGCGUAUGGGGCUUUGUCACCUGCUCUGUAGGCCCGGCCGGCGCCAGCCGACACCCAACUUUAUUUUUCUAAGGUUGACCUCGGAUCAGGUAGGGAUACCCGCUGAACUUAAGCAUAUCA